Molecule: non-coding RNA, 82 nt
Organism: Dallia pectoralis (Alaska blackfish)
Lineage: Eukaryota; Metazoa; Chordata; Actinopteri; Esociformes; Umbridae
Source: the annotation of a GenBank genome assembly
GCUGUGAUGGCCGAGUGGUUAAGGCUUUGGAUUAGGAAUCCAAUGGGGUUUGUCCGCGCAGGUUAGAACCCUGCUCUCAGCG